RNAcentral lists this ribosomal RNA (615 nucleotides) under uncultured marine eukaryote. RNAcentral describes it as "SSU rRNA". It matches the Rfam family "Eukaryotic small subunit ribosomal RNA", at positions 614 to 1233 of the family's 1831-position model. The record is from RNAcentral.
UGCGGUUAAAAAGCUCGUAGUUGGAUUUCUGUCGAAGACGGUCGGUCCGCUCUAUGAGCGUGUAUCUGAUUCGGCUUUGGCAUCCUCGUGGGGGACGUAACUGUGCUUGAUUGCAUGGUGCGGAAUUCACGACUUUUACUUUGAGGAAAUUAGAGUGUUCACGGCAGGCAAGCGCCUUGAAUAUAUUAGCAUGGAAUAAUAAUAUAGGGCUUUGGUUCUAUUUUGUUGGUUUCUAGGACUAAAGUAAUGAUUAAUAGGGAUAAUUGGGGGCAUUUGUAUUAACGCGUCAGAGGUGGAAUUCUUGGAUUGCGUUACGACAAACUACUGCGAAAGCAUUUGCCAAGGAUGUUUUCAUUGAUCAAGAACGAAAGUAUGGGGAUCGAAGAUGAUUAGAUACCGCCGUAGUCUAUACCAUAAACUAUGCCGACUAGAGAUUGGAGGUCGUUCUUUCCAUGACUCCUUCAGCACCUUAUGAGAAAUCAAAGUCUUUGGGUUCCGGGGGGAGUAUGGUCGCAAGGCUGAAACUUAAAGGAAUUGACGGAAGGGCACCACCAGGAGUGGAGCCUGCGGCUUAAUUUGACUCAACACGGGAAAACUCACCAGGUCCAGACAUAG